CAGGUCUCCAAGGUGAACAGCCUCUGGU
Molecule: small nuclear RNA, 28 nt
Filed under: Arabidopsis thaliana (thale cress)
Lineage: Eukaryota; Viridiplantae; Streptophyta; Magnoliopsida; Brassicales; Brassicaceae
Also listed under: 1 other name
Description: snRNA_07194
Source: RNAcentral